This 431-nucleotide ribosomal RNA is filed under the name uncultured bacterium. Its description in RNAcentral is "bacterial SSU rRNA". It matches the Rfam family "Bacterial small subunit ribosomal RNA", at positions 355 to 796 of the family's 1533-position model. The record is from RNAcentral.
UCGAGGAUCUUCGGCAAUGGGCGCAAGCCUGACCGAGCGACGCCGCGUGUGCGAUGAAGGCCUUCGGGUUGUAAAGCACUGUCGAGGGGGAGGAAGCCGCAAGGUUGACCUAUCCCUGGAGGAAGCACGGGCUAAGUUCGUGCCAGCAGCCGCGGUAAGACGAACCGUGCGAACGUUGUUCGGAAUCACUGGGCUUAAAGGGCGCGUAGGCGGACUGCCAAGUCAGGGGUGAAAUCUUUCGGCUUAACCGGAAAACAGCCUUUGAUACUGGCAGUCUCGAGUGAGGUAGGGGCCGUUGGAACUUCCGGUGGAGCGGUGAAAUGCGUUGAUAUCGGAAGGAACGCCGGUGGCGAAAGCGAACGGCUGGACCUCUUCUGACGCUGAGGCGCGAAAGCCAGGGGAGCAAACGGGAUUAGAUACCCCGGUAGUCC